RNAcentral lists this ribosomal RNA (377 nucleotides) under uncultured bacterium. RNAcentral's name for it is "bacterial SSU rRNA". It matches the Rfam family "Bacterial small subunit ribosomal RNA", at positions 523 to 898 of the family's 1533-position model. The record is from RNAcentral.
AUACGUAGGGGGCGAGCGUUGUCCGGAAUUACUGGGUGUAAAGGGCGUGUAGGCGGGGAUGCAAGUUACCUGUAAAAACCCAGGGCUCAACUCUGGGCUUGCUGGUAAAACUGCAUUUCUUGAGUGUAGGAGAGGGAAGUGGAAUUCCCGGAGUAGCGGUGAAAUGCGUAGAUACCGGGAGGAACACCAGUGGCGAAGGCGGCUUCCUGGCCUACAACUGACGCUGAGGCGCGAAAGCUAGGGGAGCGAACGGGAUUAGAUACCCCGGUAGUCCUAGCCGUAAACGAUGGUCACUAGGUGUGGGUGGUGGUCAAGCCAUCCGUGCCGGAGCUAACGCAAUAAGUGACCCACCUGGGGAGUACGGCCGCAAGGUUGAA